RNAcentral lists this non-coding RNA (29 nucleotides) under Homo sapiens (human). The record is from RNAcentral. Lineage: Eukaryota; Metazoa; Chordata; Mammalia; Primates; Hominidae.
UCCCAGUAUAGGGUUGGAGGAGGAGCUUA